Molecule: ribosomal RNA, 254 nt
Filed under: uncultured bacterium
Lineage: Bacteria
Description: partial 16S ribosomal RNA
Rfam family: Bacterial small subunit ribosomal RNA
Source: RNAcentral
CGUAGGGUGCAAGCGUUGUCCGGAAUUAUUGGGCGUAAAGAGCUCGUAGGCGGUGUGUCGCGUCUGCCGUGAAAACCUGCGGCUUAACCGUGGGCGUGCGGUGGAUACGGGCACACUUGAGUUCGGUAGGGGAGACUGGAAUUCCUGGUGUAGCGGUGGAAUGCGCAGAUAUCAGGAGGAACACCAGUGGCGAAGGCGGGUCUCUGGGCCGAAACUGACGCUGAGGAGCGAAAGCGUGGGGAGCGAACAGGAUU